Molecule: long non-coding RNA, 819 nt
Filed under: Gallus gallus (chicken)
Lineage: Eukaryota; Metazoa; Chordata; Aves; Galliformes; Phasianidae
Source: RNAcentral
CGCGCGGGGCUCCGACGGGGGCGGCGGCCGCGCGGCCGGUAUAUGCUCCGAGGGUGGCUAGCUGCCCCGUGGAAGAAGCUACAAGAUAUCAACGAGCCGCUGUAAUAAAGCAGAAGUAUUUGACACUGAGAGUGUAGAGCUAUAUAGUUUCUUUUUUAUUAUGAAUGGGGUGGUGGGUAUGGGGCAGGACAGGAGGGACACACUGAAGUUCAAAAGCGAGAUGUACUAACGUACUGCUUUGGAGUUUAAGAAGCUGAAGGCAAUGAUGAAGCUCAAGAGGAGGAGAAGCUAGUGUGAUCAGUCUGCCUGCCUCUGUGAUCCCCCGCAGCACUGGCUGGAAGUCCGCCGCGUGUCAGUGAGGAGCUGCUGCAGAAGGAAGAAGAAGCGGCGUGGGGACCUGGGAGGCAGGAGCAAGCAAGAAGAGGAAGCGGAAGCGUGCAGAUGCGGGGGGGAAGGAGAGAGGCUCCCUGGGCAAAGCACCUGUCCCGUUAGCAGGGGCACAGUCACGUUUGAGUUGAGAGCUGCCGGCGCCUUUGGUGACCAGGCUGGCGUUGUGCUGGGCGACCUCCCCGUAAGCGGGGCUCGGGUCUUUGCUGUAGUUGGCCUUUUGCCUUGCUGCUCCUUUGGCUGCCUGGGGAGCGUGGCCCCCUGUAACGGAGGGCGAGAGCCACCUCUCCGCACCUGAGUGGGAAAUGGAGCUCGCCGGACCCCAAGGCCACCCUGUAAGCAGGGUAGUGCCGUUCCCUGCCCCUCUUCCUCCCCCGGCCCCUCGCAUCGUUGCCUGAUGGUGGCUUGUCAACGCGACGGCCCCGUACUCGG